Labrus mixtus (cuckoo wrasse) is the source of this 5069-nucleotide long non-coding RNA. RefSeq lists it as uncharacterized. NCBI's taxonomy places the organism in Eukaryota, Metazoa, Chordata, Actinopteri, Labriformes, Labridae. The transcript has 2 exons. The record is from RefSeq and is a predicted model, not a curated record.
UCUAUUCUCAAACACAGCAGUGUAGUGUGUGGCUGAAACUUCUCUUGCUCUACAUUAUGUGGCAUGUGUUUGGCCUGUAACAGCCUAUAUACCACACAGCUUGACUUGGCAGGACACUAAUCUUUUAAGACUCUGUGUGCUGUCACCCGUUGGCCUUCGGCCCUGUAACUACACUCUCGAAGCACUUAACACUGUAUGCAUUGCAUAACCUGUUCGUUCUUCAAUAUCCUGUGCCUCUAUGGAACAGGGCGACACAGUUAAGGUCAAUGUUUUGUAUAUCACUGCAACUUUUAUCCCUCAAUAUUAAUGGCAAGGUGUGGAAGACUGUUUGAGACACAAGUUAUUGUUCUUCAACUAGUUAGUACGUUUUUCAGCUGUCACGCCUUCAAUUAAUCCGACCACAUCUACACACUUCUGAUUUAAAAAGUACAUAGUUGAACAAAGGUUUUUAUGAAGAAAGAAGAACAGAAAAGUCAAGUAGAGACUUUCAGUUUCUGAUUUUCAGUGAGUGAAAAUAAGAAAUAGUGCUGUGUGAUCUAAGUUCCCCUUGCGCCUGUGUCCUCUGGAGUAUAGCAUCAGCUCAGAUGUUGGGUGUGGCUGAUUCUCUUUAAACCUGGCUGCCUCAGGGCUUUGCUCUGUGUUUCUCUUCCUGAUAUUACAGAGCUCACAUUCCUGUGAAAUGUUGAAAUAACACAUUCAUCACUCUGUGCUUUGCAACGCUUCAGCUGGUGUCUCUGCCAUUGGUUCCUGCACAGAGAUGACACAUCAGACAUCAUCCUGUCUGCAGGCUUGUUUUCCUUAUUUAGCAGUGAAGUUGUAACUGUGAGUGUAGGAGGAGCUGACACAGACUGAUCAUCUAGUGAGGCUUGAGGAGGAGGGCUGCUUUUAAGUGGUAAUCUUCAACUUAACCAGGAAGUAAAAAUAAAUGCAUUCUUAGAUGCACAUCCUGGAUCUAUGCAAAGAGAUGAAACUGUACAUGAGACGGCAUUGUUCCAUAUAUUUUAUUUAGUUACACUAUACAUUUUGUUAACAGAACCUUUACAUUUGGUUUUCUACCAAAAUAUAGACAAAUUUCAUCUAUUUCAUAAAUGAUUCAUUAUAGGUCACUAGUACUUGAGCUAGAGCCAAAUUCAGUCCUGAAUAUCCCUCUUUUAGAAUAUGUUCUUUAUGUUUUGAAAUCUUUAAGAUCUCAGUUUUAUUCACUCAGGCUGCAUGAAUGAGGAUGUGAGAUAGUUUCUGGUAUGUUUUGUCACCUUACUCUAAAGGUGUUUUAAGACCAAGAGCAAGGCAAUGCAAGUGCACACAAAGUCAAUGCAAAUGUGCCAUAAGACAAAACUGUGUGCAGAAUGACAUGUCAGUUGUGUUACUGUGCACGCUGAAUUUUUUAAAACUUUCUACAAGACUGUGUCCCAAAAGCCAAUCAGUCUUUGUCAGACAUGUGAUAUUUUUGUCAAUGACAUCACUGCGGCGCCAUAUUGAAGGUUUUGUAACGGUGGUACCCCAACCGAAGUAUUCAAUCGAGCCACCGUCAAACUGGAAUGAGUUUUAGAAUACGUUUGGCUCAGUUAAAGAAUCUUGAGAAUCUUUUGGAUCCCUUGUAACUUUUAUGGGUGGUGGGCUCUUGUAAGCAUUGCAUUCAGGUUUGGGGAAUAACAGAACACAUGUAAUGGGAUGAUGUCAUUAUGAAACAGAAAAAAAGGUACUUUACAGUUACAAGAAAACAUUUACUCAGAUUACAGCAUUGAGAAACUCUGACUGAACUGAAUGUUGUUUGUGUGUUUCUUAUCUUGCAGACCAACAGGACAAAGAAUACAUUUAGACUUUACAAAUCUGCAUCAUGACGUAUAUAUUUGGGGCGUGCGCAUUCUUUGGAUUCUUUCAUGCUAUGAAACCACAGCAAAUCGUUCAUAUCACUGUUCAUAUUUUAUCAUAGAGGAUGAAUCUUUCUCAUUUUCAUUUGGUGACGCCAAAAGAUGUCUAUUUAUGAUUUUAAAACAUGUCAACAAAUUAACCAUAAAAACUUGUUUCCAAGUCCCUUUUCCUCGUGACUGUAACAUUUUUUGGACUUCUUAUUCUUUGGUUCAUUCUUUCACAGUAUCGCAAAGUGUUUUGGUAGAAGUGAGUACAGAUCAGAGGGAUCAGGUGAUGCUUAAUAAAUGAAUACACUUUUCAUCAGCCACAUCACUGCACUAAAUCAGCUGAUUCAUGACAACAAAAGCUUAACAACUGAGGAAACAAUCCCCCCAAAAUAUCCUGUUGCUCCGUUUCCACCAAGCGGUCUGGUUCUGUUCAGUUUGGUACGGUACCCAUUUAUUGGCGUUUCCACCUGUCAAAAGUUGGGAAUGGUACCAAAAUAAGGGAUCCGUACCGUCCUGCCUUUUUGGUACCCUUCUGUCAGGAUGCCAAGGGUACUGAUCCAACCCUAAAGGGUCCCUUGUUUACUGUAUCCCUGUUCUUCUUGAACGUUUAACUACAUUAAUAGUGGCCUACACUGUGUUAGGCUGCUAUAAUGUCACACUAUUACAUGGCUGACGCGGCUAUCUCCAUAUGGCUUACACUCCACUUACCAAAUAAGGUUACGGUUGGCUGUGGAAACGCAAGCAAGUUCAGAACUGUACCAAACGCUACCGCUUGGUGGAAACGGGGCUUAAGUGUUGCAUAGUGGAAUGAUAUGAACACACAGCAGCCUAAACUGCAACCAGGGGCUAACUUCAUUUAUUUUAGGUGAUAAGAAAAAUAAUAGUAGAAAGAAUAGAAAAUGUAUUUUUGUGAGGCUGUUUAUAUUCAUGCAUGAGUCCUUUGCGACCAGUGUGUUUCAAUAUGAAAGAAGAACCUCUGAAAAUCUAUUUCCAGAGUUUAAAGGCUUUGGUGCACAGAAUAAUAAGCCCUCUUCAUCUGAUAUCUCUCACUGCAGCAGGCUGAAUACUUUGAUUGUUACACUUGACUCAUGUAAAGUCUGUGUGUAUGUGUUAUUUUCUAGCUGUGUGGUAUCAUUUGCAUGUGAUAUUUAUCAGGGAAACAGUGGACAAAGAUCCGUUGACAUAUGUGUCCUUCUUCAGAUGUCUGCGGGGUAAAAAUUAACUGAAGGAGAAAGUAUUCAGUCAGUUCAAAACACCAUUCAUUUACAUGUAUACAAAAAAUACUUUACCUUUAACCCCAUUGAACUCCAUAUUUGAAGGCCUAUUUAAAUUGUUGUAAAGGUUUUAAAUAAGUUGGAAUAGUGAAAAUCAUGGCCAAACACACGUGGACUCAUAGUUUUUGGAACCACACAAACUUAAAAUCACGUGAUAGGUGAAUAAACAUGUUUGGAUUUGGUUAUCUCGUUCACCGCUUUUCGCCAAAUCCGCCCGACCACUCCCAGGAGACUGCUCUGGUGUCGCAGAGGGACCGAGUGUGUUCUGAGGGAGGGAAUACAAGAAGAUAAUGUGUCAUCAGCCAGCCUUUUGUGGGCAGAAACGAAGUCAAUUUAUGCAGAACAACAUCUCUCCCAAAGAGUCUUUUUUUUUUUUUUGCUGUCUCAUCAUUUGUCGUAGUUUCAGUGCAGUUUUCUCUGCAGGGAGGCCGCCUGCAGAGUCAGCAUGACUUUAAAGGGAAGACAAACCAGGAAGAAUCUGGCAGAGGGAGGAAGUGUGGGGGUGAGGGCGAGGUGCAGGUCGGGGUGGGCUGUGUUUGUUCCUCCCUGGCAUCUCAAUCAAGGACAAUGACAAAUGAGACAAAGGGAUGUAAUUCACCUUGGCGUUCACAGAAUAAUUAACAAGGCGAGGUGUUGAAACUAUCGGCGUCCUUUAUGGCCGCGCUGAUAAGACUCCUUACAGUGGCUGCUUCGGUUCAUGUGUGGACGCUCUGAUCUGACAGCAGUGUCUUUAUCAGCUGCUUUAACAGGUACAUAAAGAUAAUACCAUGCACUGUAAAAACUGCCAAUGCAGUUUUGUCAAGUCAAACAACCUUUUAACAGUUUGACCGUUGACAUUAGCUUGUAACUAAUGUGAAAUAGUAAAGUUACUUUUUGUCUAACGGGGUGUUUAGGGUCUAUCUGUAUUUUGGGGAUAAAUGUUUCUGCAUAAAAAUACUAGAUCUACAAAGUCAUUCAUUGUUAAUCAAGGACAGAAGUGAUGCAAAUGUGUUACUAAUAGAGGUGGGGGAAAAUCGUUUCAUGUAAAAAUCGAGAUUCUUAUCUUCUGAGAUUUUUAAAUUGAUUCAUAACUUUCAAAAAUCGACUAUUUUGGCUAAUCAGUCACUCCCUGCUAAGGGCUAAGGCUAGCUCUUUAACUCAGUAGAAUACCAAAUGGAGCAGCAAUCAGUCAGUCUCACAGAUGACUGGAGUAGAUCCUGAUGUAGGCCUAUGUACUAAUUCAAAAAUAGACUUUGAAUCCAUGGAUCAAUAAAUCCUGAAUUGUUUUGAAUCAAAAAUAGAUUAUGAAUCGAAUCAGGACCCCAAGAAUCCAAAUUGAAUCGAAUCGUGAGACACGCAAAGAUUUCCAACCCUAGUUACUAUACAAUAUUUAGUGAAAUUGUUAUAGCAAGGCAAUAUGUAAACUUUGCGCUCUUAUGACUUUGGUUUCAUAGAAUAGCCUUCCUUGUGUUUAUGCUAUCUGUAUGAGUGUAUGACUGUUUUCUGUUUCUGUGUAUGCUGUUGCGAUAGUGAAGGUGUUAAAUAGCUGAAGAUAAGUUACAGCACAGCUAAGGAGUAGUCAGAGGUUUUAACACAUAAAAAGAGUUGUGACCAUUGUGCAAUAUUUUGUUGAGAGCUACUAAUUAGGGGUGGAUCAAUAGUGCACCAAAACACAUAUUAUUGCAAUGAAUUCGUCUCUUGACAUUUUCUUACAAACCUCAUCACGAUACAGGAGUUAUUAUUUUAUGAUACUAUAAGCAAGGGAAAUAUUCUGUAUUUAACAAAAAAGAAAACUGUUCAAAAUAAGGUCCCAGUUCAAAAGUGUAGCGGGAUCUGCAUUUUAAUUUUGUCCAAGUCAUUGAAGUAUUUUUUGGAGCUCUCGAGCAGAUCCUCACAUUUCCCCAAUACCAGGAGAAAAUAACUCAACGUAAGAUGGAAGUAUUUAAUAAAACAAAAA